CAGCUGUGCAAAUUACUAAAAAUUAGUUUAACUGAUACUGUCAUGAGAUCCACUGCACUGGCUGAGGGUAGUUACAGCAAUCCAUGGUUCUGCCUGACCUUCCUCAUCUAGAGAAGCUGCACUGCCUAUUACCAGCCUUGAAGACUCUGUUCAGGAUCUGCACAGCCCAGUGGAGAUGGUGUGGAGAUAUUGCUUGCUGCUGGAUAUAUCUAGUUUUUUAGGCUUUGUUCUUUGAGUCACUGCUGACUUGCAUGUUGGGGCUUCUAAAGAAAGUUGCAUCUUGCCUUGGGAACACAGUUCUUUCAGCUGACUCAGAACCUGCAGCUAAGAGGAGCCCAGAGGACCAGUGCCAGCUCUCCCAGGACUUUAUAAACAGUCACGUCUCCUGGCUCUGCUUUGUAGCUGGCUGACUCAUAGUCCUCCUUGUAAAGAGCACCUGCAGACCUGAGUGGCUGCUCUGAGACUGCUCAUCCAACAUGGAAAACUACAGCACCGAGCCAUAAGCAGUGCAGAAACUCUGCAGUGGUGAACUAGGCAUUUAGUAUCCUUUUCUGAUCAUAAUUUUCCCUGUGAGGGGGGAAGAAGAAAUCAUUAUUUUCUAUUUCAGUUCUUGAUUAUUUCCAUUCUUAUUUCAAUUUAGGGUUUGCUCUGUUAGUAUCUCUUACUACCUUUGUCUGAUUUCUGGGUGUUCCUGCCGGUCUGAUUUGAUUUUCAUGUGCAGACUAUUUUACUGGAUCAUGCAUUAAGUGAAGAUAAACCAAUAACUAUGGUUACUGUGGAGCUGCAACGUAAAAAUCUAGCUUUCAUAUCUAAACAGAAAAACCUCAGUCUUAAAAGGGACUAGUGUCUUUCACGUUUAUUAAGGAUUAUAAGAGACAGGAAAUGAGAAAAAACAAACACAGAUUCUUUUUAGUGUUUUUUUUUCCUUCUUAGUGUGAGAAGCACAUUGCUUCAGUAACCAUUAUAUCUCUUGGUAUCAUCAUAUUCAUACAGUAUCCUGAAGGAUUUAGGAAAAUGAGUAGUUUGAAUCAUUCACUGAAGGGAAAACAGAAAUAUUGUAAAUGGCAUACUUAUAGAAAACUACCUGAAUUUUUUUAUUCUCCUGUGAAUUACUACUGUUUUGUUUAGGAUUGGUUUUAAUCAAUAAAUCACUAUAUGUAUCUUGAAAAAUGCA
This 1174-nucleotide long non-coding RNA is filed under the name Cyanistes caeruleus (blue tit). Its description in RNAcentral is "lncRNA (ENSCCEG00000010486.1)". Lineage: Eukaryota; Metazoa; Chordata; Aves; Passeriformes; Paridae. The record is from RNAcentral.